AUGCAAGUCGAGCGGUAGCACAGAGAGCUUGCUCUCGGGUGACGAGCGGCGGACGGGUGAGUAAUGUCUGGGAAACUGCCUGAUGGAGGGGGAUAACUACUGGAAACGGUAGCUAAUACCGCAUAACGUCGCAAGACCAAAGUGGGGGACCUUCGGGCCUCAUGCCAUCAGAUGUGCCCAGAUGGGAUUAGCUAGUAGGUGGGGUAACGGCUCACCUAGGCGACGAUCCCUAGCUGGUCUGAGAGGAUGACCAGCCACACUGGAACUGAGACACGGUCCAGACUCCUACGGGAGGCAGCAGUGGGGAAUAUUGCACAAUGGGCGCAAGCCUGAUGCAGCCAUGCCGCGUGUGUGAAGAAGGCCUUCGGGUUGUAAAGCACUUUCAGCGGGGAGGAAGGCGAUAAGGUUAAUAACCUUGUCGAUUGACGUUACCCGCAGAAGAAGCACCGGCUAACUCCGUGCCAGCAGCCGCGGUAAUACGGAGGGUGCAAGCGUUAAUCGGAAUUACUGGGCGUAAAGCGCACGCAGGCGGUCUGUCAAGUCGGAUGUGAAAUCCCCGGGCUCAACCUGGGAACUGCAUUCGAAACUGGCAGGCUAGAGUCUUGUAGAGGGGGGUAGAAUUCCAGGUGUAGCGGUGAAAUGCGUAGAGAUCUGGAGGAAUACCGGUGGCGAAGGCGGCCCCCUGGACAAAGACUGACGCUCAGGUGCGAAAGCGUGGGGAGCAAACAGGAUUAGAUACCCUGGUAGUCCACGCCGUAAACGAUGUCGAUUUGGAGGUUGUGCCCUUGAGGCGUGGCUUCCGGAGCUAACGCGUUAAAUCGACCGCCUGGGGAGUACGGCCGCAAGGUUAAAACUCAAAUGAAUUGACGGGGGCCCGCACAAGCGGUGGAGCAUGUGGUUUAAUUCGAUGCAACGCGAAGAACCUUACCUGGUCUUGACAUCCACAGAACUUUCCAGAGAUGGAUUGGUGCCUUCGGGAACUGUGAGACAGGUGCUGCAUGGCUGUCGUCAGCUCGUGUUGUGAAAUGUUGGGUUAAGUCCCGCAACGAGCGCAACCCUUAUCCUUUGUUGCCAGCGGUUMGGCCGGGAACUCAAAGGAGACUGCCAGUGAUAAACUGGAGGAAGGUGGGGAUGACGUCAAGUCAUCAUGGCCCUUACGACCAGGGCUACACACGUGCUACAAUGGCAUAUACAAAGAGAAGCGACCUCGCGAGAGCAAGCGGACCUCAUAAAGUAUGUCGUAGUCCGGAUUGGAGUCUGCAACUCGACUCCAUGAAGUCGGAAUCGCUAGUAAUCGUAGAUCAGAAUGCUACGGUGAAUACGUUCCCGGGCCUUGUACACACCGCCCGUCACACCAUGGGAGUGGGUUGCAAAAGAAGUAG
RNAcentral lists this ribosomal RNA (1382 nucleotides) under bacterium. RNAcentral's name for it is "bacterial SSU rRNA". The record is from RNAcentral.